This 301-nucleotide ribosomal RNA is filed under the name uncultured bacterium. RNAcentral's name for it is "partial 16S ribosomal RNA". It matches the Rfam family "Bacterial small subunit ribosomal RNA", at positions 509 to 808 of the family's 1533-position model. The record is from RNAcentral.
CAGCAGCCACGGUAAUACGGAGGGGGCUAGCGUUGCUCGGAAUGACUGGGCGUAAAGGGCGCGUAGGCGGAUUGUUUAGUUAGGCGUGAAAUUCCUGGGCUUAACCUGGGGACUGCGCUUAAUACAGGCAGUCUAGAGUGAGGAAGAGGGUUGUGGAAUUCCCAGUGUAGAGGUGAAAUUCGUAGAUAUUGGGAAGAACACCGGUGGCGAAGGCGGCAACCUGGUCCUUGACUGACGCUGAGGCGCGAAAGCGUGGGGAGCAAACAGGAUUAGAUACCCCCGUAGUCCCUGUCUCUUAACC